UGGGGAAUAUUGGACAAUGGGCGCAAGCCUGAUCCAGCCAUGCCGCGUGAGUGAUGAAGGCCCUAGGGUUGUAAAGCUCUUUCAGCGAGGAGGAUAAUGACGUUACUCGCAGAAGAAGCCCCGGCUAACUUCGUGCCAGCAGCCGCGGUAAUACGAAGGGGGCUAGCGUUGUUCGGAAUCACUGGGCGUAAAGCGCACGUAGGCGGACUUUUAAGUCAGGGGUGAAAUCCCGGGGCUCAACCUCGGAACUGCCUUUGAUACUGGAAGUCUGGAGUCCGAGAGAGGUGAGUGGAACUCCGAGUGUAGAGGUGAAAUUCGUAGAUAUUCGGAAGAACACCAGUGGCGAAGGCGGCUCACUGGCUCGGUACUGACGCUGAGGUGCGAAAGCGUGGGGAGCAAACAGGAUUAGAUACCCCGGUAGUCCACGCCGUAAACGAUGGAAGCUAGCCGUCAGGGUGCAUGCAUCUUGGUGGCGCAGUUAACGCAUUAAGCUUCCCGCCUGGGGAGUACGGUCGCAAGAUUAAAACUCAAAUGAAUUGACGGGGUCAUAGCUGUUUCCU
RNAcentral lists this ribosomal RNA (560 nucleotides) under uncultured bacterium. Its description in RNAcentral is "partial 16S ribosomal RNA". It matches the Rfam family "Bacterial small subunit ribosomal RNA", at positions 355 to 1375 of the family's 1533-position model. The record is from RNAcentral.